CUCCGGCUCCCCGAGUCCCCGGGGCUCCGGGAGGUCAGGCGGCGCCUCGCGCGGUCGUCCUGAGGCGAUGGGCAGAGAAAUGAGACAGUGUCUGCCGCUCCUCCCGAGUCCAGCGAUGCCAGUCGGCGCCACCCGGUCGUCUUCCCGGAGAAACCGGCCCGGAGUCACAAAGGGGGUGAUUUCCCAACGCCCCCAAGUCCGAGCCGGAAAGGAUGCUGCUGCCGGGGAUGCCGGGCUCCCACAUCCUGAAACUCCUAGUUAUCCUUAAACCCGGUCCCUCAGCGCUCUCUCAUGUCAAAACUCCCAGCAGGACCACGGCAGGGGCGCCUCCUCCACCGGAGAGCAGCGUCCACAGACACCCCAGUGACGACCCGCUGAACGGCGACAGGCGGGCGCCCUCCUCUGAGCGUGCGGCGGGACCGGGCUGUCGGCUCUGCGCUCCCCUCAGCCCCACAAGUUCCAGCCCCUCCGCAAGGUGAGGAAACCAGCAGAUGGGGAAGGAAGAAAGCAAACUGCCUCUGUGCACAGGACGUGCGUGUCCCCGUAGAAGAGCUCAGGGCAUUGACAGAAGCACGCCUAGAACGAGGCGGGAGCUCAGCAAGGUCCCAGAAUACAGGAAAUAAGAUGCUCAGGAAGAAACCUAUACGGAACUGUGUGCUGAAAAUCACAAAAUGCUGACAAAAGAAAUCUCAGAGACCCAGAUAAACGAGACACACCCGUGUUCACGGACCAGAAGACAACAAGGGAACAUGCCAGAUCUUCUCAAUAAAACUGACCUUGUCACAAUUAAAAACUUUUGUUCUGCGAGACCUUGUGGGACAUUUGGUCCUGUCCAGGGCGUCCACGGAGACAUUUGGUCCCUGCUUUGUUAAAGAAUAGAAACAUUCAACUCUGUUAAAAUUUUACGUUAUUAUUAUUAUAAUUCAUGGUGAAUUUUGGGUUUCACAUUUAUUCUUGUUCUUCCUCAUCUUGAAGUUCGGCAGUUACUCUUAAGUCGAUGAGCAGUUGCUCUCAAGUAUAUAUCAGCCUGAUUAGUGGCUUUAUAUUCCUUAUAUCUGUAAACAAUUUCAGUUACACGAAUUUGAUUGUGUUGGUAUCAUUGUGAGUUGGCGGCUCUAAUUGCGUGUGACCACCCAGAACCAGGAUGGUAACUUGUUCAUUGCUUUCCUGAUCGUCUUUUAACACUUCCAUAAAUGUCCACCUUGAGGGCUGGUGCAGCACCAGCAGCUCUGGAAAUGUGUUACACCAGCCUUCCGCUGCGUCGUUCAUCCUGUGAUCGCCGUUCAGUCCUGAGGCAUAGACUUGCCAAGUUCCUGGUGGAAAUCUUGGGGCUUCUGGUCUUCUGCUUCUGCCACGCCUUCCACGGACACACGUGCUCUCAACAUAACCUGUUAGGUCAUCUAAGUUUUCUUCUGCAUUCUCCACAAUGUAUUCAAAAUUUCAUUUACAUCUUCCAAAGGCACAAAUGGAAGUCCAGACAACAUGGACGCACACUUACGGCUGUCACUUUCCAUUGUCCUACACUCGUGUGUUAGAUCCAGAGAAGGUACUUUUUGCCACAGUGAUUGUGGAAAUUGACACAAGCAUUGUUUUACUUGUGCAUUUGGUAGGAGUAGUCGAAUCGCAUGCAUGUUUGCAAUCUCGAAAUCCAUCACGUGCGAUGAAGGGUUAACGUCGGGAUUUCUUUCCCCAGCAAACGUGAAUGCUUUCUCCUGCAUGUGUCUGUAAACGUCUCCUCGCCUUUUCCUCUUCGUGCAUAAGUCACUGGCGUCGUACAACCUAGUUCUACAGCGUGCACAGUAGAUAGUUGAGUGCACUGUGCGGUGCCGGCUGAAGGUGCCCUCACUGAAUGCUGUUGUACUGCCACUUAAAUAUCGGAUACUGUCGUAGGUUGUGUAAAUUAGAAUUCUCUCAUCAUCUUGAGCACCAGAAUCGUGCAUAAGAAGUGGUUCUCUGAGUCUGGUCACUUUAUAGCCUUCUGGAAUCGCAAUGUCAUGCAGUGAAAUUGGGACUGGGGGUCGAUGUUUGUUUUGAAUCCUAUUUACUUGCUUCUGUCUGAGUUUCUUUCUGGAAGCAUUAGCAGGACCUCUUCAUCGUGAAUACCAUGGAGAAUCAUCCAGGCGCCUACGAUGGUGCUGCAUGUGGGUCUUCUGUGCCUCGUUCUAACCUCCUCAGGGUUUUCCUUGCUUCCUCUUGACACUACGCAGUGUGAUGUUUUCCUGUCACAUCUUGAGUGACUGUCCUGUCGUGCAAACCUCGACUAGCUGUAUAUCGGGCCUGUAGAGUCUCCCCUCUCACAGCCCUGGGACCUUUCACUGCUAUCUCUGUUGAAGGAAUGGCAAUGGUAACAAAACCACUACACUGUUGCCCUGGCUUUUCUUUUUGUGAGCACGCUAUUUCUGCCAUAUUCCACUGAGAACUUUCAAAUAAAGAUGUCAUAUUGUCAGGCAGCAGAAGAAGGGUUAUUUUCUUCUUUUGUGGCCGUCUGACUAGCUCACAGGUUUACUUGUAGGGGAACCUUACUAAUGUCUUAUGGAUUCCACACCCCAUUUGGCCUGGCUGGGUCACCCACUAACACCUCUCCAAAUAGUGGAGACAUUUCUUGUGGUCUACCGCGAUCCUACCUGCACAGGACUUUGACUCAAGGGAAAUAUCGCCAACUAGCCCUGGCAGUGGGGUAAUUGUGGAGGAGAAUUAGAUGCCUGGUAUCCCUCAUGGCGGCCAUGACACAGGCCACUCUGCGGGAGAGAACACGGCGAGUUGCUCUGUCAUGUGUUCACAUCGACGUGUUCAUAUCAGUGUGUUCCCAGCCAGUUCACAUAGCACGUGACCCCACUCCUCCUUCCAAACUUGUCCAGAGUGACGCACCAGCCAUGUCCACCCAGAUGCCCAGCGACAUGGUUAUGCCCCACAUCUCGAGGUCCUGCCCUCAAUGUGCCAUUCUCUGCGCCCCUGACUGUAGGACUUUUUCCCCAG
Equus asinus (donkey) is the source of this 2976-nucleotide long non-coding RNA. The record is from Ensembl. NCBI's taxonomy places the organism in Eukaryota, Metazoa, Chordata, Mammalia, Perissodactyla, Equidae.